GAUGAACGCUAGCGACAGGCUCAACACAUGCAAGUCGAGGGGCAGCAUAAAAGUAGCAAUACUUUGGUGGCGACCGGCGCACGGGUGAGUAACGCGUAUGCAACCUACCUAUCAGAGGGGGAUAACCCGGCGAAAGUCGGACUAAUACCGCAUAAAACAGGGGCACCGCAUGGUGAUAUUUGUUAAAGAUUAAUUGCUGAUAGAUGGGCAUGCGUUCCAUUAGGUAGUUGGUGAGGUAAUGGCUCACCAAGCCGACGAUGGAUAGGGGAACUGGGAGGUUGGUCCCCCACACUGGUACUGAGACACGGACCAGACUCCUACGGGAGGCAGCAGUGAGGAAUAUUGGUCAAUGGGCGAGAGCCUGAACCAGCCAAGUCGCGUGAAGGAAGAAGGAUCUAUGGUUCGUAAACUUCUUUUGCAGGGGAAUAAAGUGGAGGACGUGUCCUCUUUUGUAUGUACCCUGAGAAUAAGGAUCGGCUAACUCCGUGCCAGCAGCCGCGGUAAUACGGAGGAUCCGAGCGUUAUCCGGAUUUAUUGGGUUUAAAGGGUGCGUAGGUGGUUUAAUAAGUCAGCGGUGAAAGUUUGCAGCUUAACUGUAAAAAUGCCGUUGAAACUGUUAGACUUGAGUGUAAAUGAGGUAGGCGGAAUGCGUGGUGUAGCGGUGAAAUGCUUAGAUAUCACGCAGAACUCCGAUUGCGAAAGGCAGCUUACCAAGCUACAACUGACACUGAAGCACGAAAGCGUGGGGAUCAAAC
This 755-nucleotide ribosomal RNA is filed under the name uncultured bacterium. Its description in RNAcentral is "bacterial SSU rRNA". It matches the Rfam family "Bacterial small subunit ribosomal RNA", at positions 28 to 773 of the family's 1533-position model. The record is from RNAcentral.